AUAGCCAUCUUGAUAAAGCCUAACCAGCAGUCAAGCACCGAGUCUUGCGUGGUGCGUGGUAACAUUCAUCGCGAAGCGUAGACAGGAAGAUAGUAGGCCGGAAUAAAGUGAAUGGGAUAAUUAGCCCCGAAAUUGAACGUGUUGUGAAGUAGCCGACCUUUUCUCUCUAUGGGGAAGGCAGAAAUUAGAUGUCCGUUAUUGGUGAGGAUAGACUAAUUACUUCCGGGGUUCGUACC
This is a non-coding RNA of Desulfosporosinus sp., 236 nucleotides long. The record is from Rfam. NCBI's taxonomy places the organism in Bacteria, Bacillati, Bacillota, Clostridia, Eubacteriales, Desulfitobacteriaceae.